CGGCGGGCUAGGCCGGGGGGUUCGGCGUCCCCUGCAACCGGAAACCGUCGAUAUGCCGGGGCCGAAGCCCGGGGGGCGGUUCCCAAAGCCGUCCCCGGAAGCCGGGGCACAACGGUGAUCCCUCGUCCCACGGGGCCGGCGGUGGGAGGGGCGGAGCUGGAGGGCUCCGCUAACUCCCUUUGCCCGCCGAACCCCGUCAGGCCCGGAAGGGAGCAGCGGUAGGCGGGACGUUCGGCGCUCGUGGGGUAGCGGGGGUGAGCGAGCCCCGGUGGAAGGGGACGGUGGAGGGUUCCCACCCUCGGGCGCGCCCGCCG
Molecule: signal recognition particle RNA, 314 nt
Filed under: Thermococcus thioreducens
Lineage: Archaea; Methanobacteriati; Methanobacteriota; Thermococci; Thermococcales; Thermococcaceae
Description: signal recognition particle sRNA
Rfam family: Archaeal signal recognition particle RNA
Source: RNAcentral